Molecule: long non-coding RNA, 337 nt
Filed under: Androctonus crassicauda
Lineage: Eukaryota; Metazoa; Arthropoda; Arachnida; Scorpiones; Buthidae
Source: RNAcentral
CCAAGGAAGAAAUGAUUGAAAAACUAACCGCCAGACCUAAACACUAUAUUAGGGCCACAGACGUUGAAGUUUCCACAUUAAGUGAUGAAUUGCAUCAAUUGAGAGCCGAUUUAGCAGAAGCUAGAGAAAGGGAGCGAAGGAAUAACGAACAGCCCAGGCGGAAUUCGCAGGCACAGUUGCAUGACACAUAUCGCAGUAAUAAUGCCGUUCAGGAACCAUUAUUUCGUCCCACAUCGGAAAUUUAUUAUAAGUGAAUCUUCGUCAGCGCGCGCCAUAAUUAAGUCUGUAGCUAGAGAUCCGAACAAUAACGGACAUCGACAAGGGAAAUUCGGAACAU